AAUAUUGCACAAUGGGGGAAACCCUGAUGCAGCAACGCCGCGUGAGUGAUGAAGGCUCUAGGGUCGUAAAGCUCUGUCGUGUGGGAAGAAAAAAAUGACGGUACCACACAAGAAAGGACCGGCCAACUUCGUGCCAGCAGCCGCGGUAAUACGGGGGGUCCAAGCGUUGUUCGGAAUCACUGGGCGUAAAGCGCAUGUAGGUGGCUAUUCAAGUCAACUGUGAAAGCCCCGGGCCUAACCCGGGAAGUGCAGUUGAAACUGGAUAGCUUGAGUACGAGAGAGGAUAGUGGAAUUUCUGGUGUAGUGGUGAAAUACGUAGAUAUCAGAAGGAACAUCGGUGGCGAAGGCGGCUAUCUGGCUCGAUACUGACACUGAGAUGCGAAAGCGUGGGGAUCAAACAGG
Molecule: ribosomal RNA, 402 nt
Filed under: uncultured bacterium
Lineage: Bacteria
Description: bacterial SSU rRNA
Rfam family: Bacterial small subunit ribosomal RNA
Source: RNAcentral